RNAcentral lists this ribosomal RNA (255 nucleotides) under Klebsiella pneumoniae. Its description in RNAcentral is "partial 16S ribosomal RNA". It matches the Rfam family "Bacterial small subunit ribosomal RNA", at positions 999 to 1254 of the family's 1533-position model. Lineage: Bacteria; Pseudomonadati; Pseudomonadota; Gammaproteobacteria; Enterobacterales; Enterobacteriaceae. The record is from RNAcentral.
UCCAGAGAUGGAUUGGUGCCUUCGGGAACUGUGAGACAGGUGCUGCAUGGCUGUCGUCAGCUCGUGUUGUGAAAUGUUGGGUUAAGUCCCGCAACGAGCGCAACCCUUAUCCUUUGUUGCCAGCGGUUAGGCCGGGAACUCAAAGGAGACUGCCAGUGAUAAACUGGAGGAAGGUGGGGAUGACGUCAAGUCAUCAUGGCCCUUACGACCAGGGCUACACACGUGCUACACUGGCAUAUACAAAGAGAAGCGACC